GCCAUCUAAUCGGAGAGAAAUUUCUAAUGUGUGUGAUCCCAUAGGUUCAAACCUAAGUCGAUAGCACAGAAAUAGAUUUCUGUAUCAAUCAGAGUAACCAUCUAGCAAUGGUAUCCAACGUCCGGAUAGGCCGAAUGUAUGCAAAGAAAUACUCAAGAACCUACUUGGAUACAGUUACUAUAUAAUUCAUCCAUUUGACCCUUGAUGUAAGGAUGACUUAGAAUUUAAAUUGUC
Molecule: long non-coding RNA, 234 nt
Filed under: Elaeis guineensis (African oil palm)
Lineage: Eukaryota; Viridiplantae; Streptophyta; Magnoliopsida; Arecales; Arecaceae
Description: long non-coding RNA (EGUI_LNC031991)
Source: RNAcentral